AUUGAACGCUGGCGGCAUGCCUUACACAUGCAAGUCGAACGGCAGCAUGGGUGCUUGCACCUGAUGGCGAGUGGCGAACGGGUGAGUAAUGCAUCGGAACGUACCCGGAAGUGGGGGAUAACGUAGCGAAAGUUACGCUAAUACCGCAUAUUCUGUGAGCAGGAAAGAGGGGGAUCGCAAGACCUCUCGCUUUCGGAGCGGCCGAUGUCGGAUUAGCUAGUUGGCGGGGUAAAGGCCCACCAAGGCAACGAUCCGUAGCGGGUCUGAGAGGAUGAUCCGCCACACUGGGACUGGGACACGGCCCGGACUCCUACGGGAGGCAGCAGUGGGGAAUUUUGGACAAUGGGGGCAACCCUGAUCCAGCCAUGCCGCGAGAGUGAAGAAGGCCUUCGGGUUGUAAAGCUCUUUCGGCUGGGAAGAAAUCGCAUCUCCUAAUACGGGGUGUGGAUGACGGUACCAGCAUAAGAAGCACCGGCUAACUACGUGCCAGCCGCCGCGGUAA
RNAcentral lists this ribosomal RNA (502 nucleotides) under uncultured bacterium. RNAcentral's name for it is "partial 16S ribosomal RNA". It matches the Rfam family "Bacterial small subunit ribosomal RNA", at positions 29 to 523 of the family's 1533-position model. The record is from RNAcentral.